This 527-nucleotide ribosomal RNA is filed under the name uncultured soil bacterium. Its description in RNAcentral is "bacterial SSU rRNA". It matches the Rfam family "Bacterial small subunit ribosomal RNA", at positions 8 to 524 of the family's 1533-position model. The record is from RNAcentral.
AGAGUUUGAUCCUGGCUCAGAACGAACGCUGGCGGCGUGGAUAAGACAUGCAAGUCGAGCGCUUAUUUUCUGGUAGCAAUAUUAGGAAGUAGGAGCGGCGCAAGGGUGCGUAACACGUGGAUCAUCUGCCUGGAAGUUCGGAAUAAUUCCGCGAAAGCGGGACUAAUGCCGGAUGUGGUUGUAAGACUAAAGUUGGAGACCGCAAGGCCUGACGCUUCCAGAUGAGUCCGCGGCCUAUCAGCUAGUUGGCGGGGUAACGGCCCACCAAGGCUAAGACGGGUAGCUGGUCUGAGAGGACGACCAGCCACACUGGAACUGAGACACGGUCCAGACACCUACGGGUGGCAGCAGUCGAGAAUUUUUCUCAAUGGGCGAAAGCCUGAAGGAGCGACGCCGCGUGGGGGAUGAAGGGCUUCGGUCCGUAAACCCCUGUCAUUUGCGAACAAACCUUAUGAAUGAACAAUUCAUGAGCUGAUUGUAGCGAAAGAGGAAGGGACGGCUAACUCUGUGCCAGCAGCCGCGGUAAU